This 21-nucleotide unclassified non-coding RNA is filed under the name Dictyostelium discoideum. The record is from RNAcentral. Lineage: Eukaryota; Evosea; Eumycetozoa; Dictyosteliales; Dictyosteliaceae.
AGCUGGGGAUUAUUCAACUUU